Immersiella caudata is the source of this 117-nucleotide non-coding RNA. The record is from the annotation of a GenBank genome assembly. Lineage: Eukaryota; Fungi; Ascomycota; Sordariomycetes; Sordariales; Lasiosphaeriaceae.
GGCCUGUUGGUGUAGUAGUUAGCGCGCUUGCCCUUUGUCAUCCUUUAUAAAUAAGCCAGGCAUAUUUACAAAAGGUCGGCUAGUAGGAGGUCGUGGGUUCAAAUCCCGCAUGGGUUA